CUUUGGUGAGUGUUAACAGCAGCUGUGGUUCCCACAAUCCUCAAUUUCUCCCAUUAAAUGCUUUCGGAAGAUAGGAAUGCGGUGUCUGAAUCGAAUGAUUGAAUUUGUUGUAACUUAUUUCCUUGUUAACUUAACUUUUGUCUGUAUGUUUGUAUGAAUGUAUUUUUCCAGGGCAUAUUCAUUUCUCUGGCAGUCCGGCAACAGUGACGUUCUGUUAAGACAGGCCAAGUUGGAGGGCACUUCUGCCCCAGAUAUCAUAGCUGCUCUGGAAGAACACUUCCGUUACAUCGGCGCAGAGUGCGCGCCAGCAACUGUGUGAAGUGAAGCGUUGAGCUGCUACUCACAGCGUUGUUUAAACUACGAAGGCAAGACCAUGUCUGUUUUUUGGACGUGGGGCAUGUACUCUUUCUCUGGGCAAGUCUGGAGGAUACCGCGGAAGAGUCGGAUCACCCUCAAAAUGGGAUUCCAUUUGCCGUGAAUAAUAUGCGAGGGGCAUCACGCCGUACAGAGGCUGGUAUUCCCUUAUUAGAAUGGAUUCAUCCGGCUUCAAGUGGAGUUUAAGUAAUGAUGUAUAUAUUGUUACAUUUCCAUUAAACAUUUGAUGCCUGAAA
Molecule: non-coding RNA, 611 nt
Organism: Zootermopsis nevadensis
Lineage: Eukaryota; Metazoa; Arthropoda; Insecta; Blattodea; Termopsidae
Source: RefSeq, a predicted model, not a curated record